Pyrgilauda ruficollis (rufous-necked snowfinch) is the source of this 316-nucleotide long non-coding RNA. RefSeq lists it as uncharacterized. The record is from RefSeq and is a predicted model, not a curated record. Lineage: Eukaryota; Metazoa; Chordata; Aves; Passeriformes; Passeridae. The transcript has 3 exons.
CAUGUUAUUCACGGCAGUAAACUACUUAGUUAUGACUAAUAAUUUCUUUUUGAUAUUACAUACACUGUCUUUUUUCAGAUGAAGAUAAAAAGAAAAGCAAGAAGAGGAAAAAGAAGAGCAAAAAGAAGAAGUAUAAGAAGAAGAAAGCUAAGAAGAGCAGGAAGGAAUCCAGUGAUUCAAGUAGUGAAGAUUCCGAUGAUGAAAUGCUCCAGGGGGAUGAUCUCUGGAUAGAGAGGUCAAAAAAUACUGAAGCUGACAGUUUGAUUGGACCAGAGGCUCCCAAAACUCACGCAUCUCAGGAUGAUAGGCCUUUGAA